GCACACAUAGCUCUGUCGGUAGAGCACGAGACUCAUAAUCUCAGAGUCAUGGGUUUGAACCUCAUGUUGGGCA
Molecule: non-coding RNA, 73 nt
Organism: Podarcis lilfordi (Lilford's wall lizard)
Lineage: Eukaryota; Metazoa; Chordata; Lepidosauria; Squamata; Lacertidae
Source: the annotation of a GenBank genome assembly